RNAcentral lists this ribosomal RNA (29 nucleotides) under Cronartium ribicola. RNAcentral describes it as "partial 5.8S ribosomal RNA". The record is from RNAcentral. Lineage: Eukaryota; Fungi; Basidiomycota; Pucciniomycetes; Pucciniales; Coleosporiaceae.
UCAUGAAACCCUCUCAUUCCAAUUCUUUA